AGCUCCAGUAGCGUAUAUUAACGUUGUUGCAGUUAAAAAGCUCGUAGUUGGAUUUCUGGCCUGGUGCGCCUGAUCCACGGCUCUUUUAAGGGACGUGUGUAUCGGUCGCGCGCCUGCCAUCCUUCUGGAGAGUACGCCUACCCUUCACUGGGCCGGGUGUACAAUCUGGAUCUUUUACUUUGAAAAAAUUAGAGUGUUUCAAGCAGGCAUUAUGCUGUGAAUACAUUAGCAUGGAAUAAUAAGAUAGGACUUCGGCUCUAUUUUGUUGGUUUCUAGGACUGAAGUAAUGAUUGAUAGGGAUAGUUGGGGGUGCUAGUAUUUAACGGCCAGAGGUGAAAUUCAUGGAUUCGUUAAAGACUAACUAAUGCGAAAGCAUUCACCAAGGAUGUCUUCUUUAAUC
RNAcentral lists this ribosomal RNA (400 nucleotides) under phytoplankton environmental sample. RNAcentral's name for it is "partial small subunit ribosomal RNA". It matches the Rfam family "Eukaryotic small subunit ribosomal RNA", at positions 587 to 978 of the family's 1831-position model. The record is from RNAcentral.